GGAAGCAUCGAAGAUGAUCCAGAAUAUAAGAAGUUUUUAGAAACCUACUGUGUGGAGGAAGAGAAGACCAGUGCCAACCCUGAGACUCUGCUGGGGGAGAUGGAGGCGAAGACAAGAGAGCUCAUUGUUUAUACACAUGCUCUUCCAUGUCUUUAGAGAAUUCGAGAAGAGAAGCGAGAAGAACGGAGGAGGAGAGAGUUAGAAAAGAAACGUUUGAGGGAAGAGGAAAAAAGAAGAAGAAGAGAAGAAGAAAGAUGCAAAAAAAAAGAGACAGAUAAACAGAAGAAAAUUGCAGAGAAAGAAGUAAGGAUUAAGCUUCUUAAGAAACCAGAAAAGGGAGAGGAACCAACCACAGAGAAACCAAAAGAAAGAGGAGAGGAGAUUGAUACUGGAGGUGGCAAGCAGGAAUCCUGUGCCCCCGGUGCAGUCGUAAAAGCCAGGCUCGUGGAAGGCUCGCUGGAGGAGCCCCAGGAGACGUCACACAGCAGCAGUGAUAAAGAGCACAGGGAUGUGGAGAGAUCUCAAGAACAAGAAUCUGAAGCACAAAGACACCAUGUGGAUGACGGCAGGAGGCACAGAGCUCACCAUGAGCCUGACCGGCUUUCCAGAAGGAGUGAGGAUGAGCAGAGAUGGGGGAAAGGACCUGGCCAAGACAGAGGGAAGAAGGGGAGCCAGGACAGCGGGGCUCCAGGGGAGGCCGUGGAGAGACUGGGAAGAGCGCAGAGGUGUGACGACAGUCCAGCACCCAGAAAAGAGCGACUGGCAAACAAGGACCGGCCAGCCUUGCAGCUGUAUGAUCCAGGAGCUCGCUUCCGAGCGCGAGAGUGUGGCGGAAGCAGGAGGAUCUGCAAGGCAGAAGGUUCGGGGACUGGUCCUGAGAGGAGGGAAGAGGCAGAGUGAGUCACUGCACGCACCUGGCCUCCAUGGACGAGCGAGGGCAUCCCAGAAACGUGUAAAUGACCGUGAGUGUGACUGGGAAGGAGAACUUACUCCUUACCUGGAAACUGGAAGCUAAAAAUACAGAGGAUGACACAGAAACACGCAGAAACCAUUCUAAAGAAAGUAGUGAUCUUGUAUUAAAUUGAGCAGAAUUCUCACAGAUUUUACCAUUCCUGUUAUAAACUAGUAUUUGUUGUUUAGCCAAAACAGAAAAUGAUUUCCACUGGAUAGUAGAAAACUACGUGUAAAAUAGGGAAGAAAGUUAGUAUUGGAUCAGUGUGAGUCCUGAAGCACUUUCAGUGCUGUGAGAACGACAUCCACUUUGGGUUUCAUUCGUUUGUAAGCAGAGGAGCUGUCAGUCACUCGUGCUUCUCGGUGGCCUCUGAGCCAUAGUGUCGAGUAAAGAGCAGUUCUUGUUUGUUAAAACCUUUGUGAGUCAGCCAUGCCUGCAGAGUGUGCUGUGUUUUAGUCCUGGUAGGAAUAUUUAUCAGAGCUCACACUAUCUAAAACCCAACAGCUGCAACUAUUGCCCUUUCAACAGUUUUGCCACUGACCGGAUAAAAACGGUUUCAGUCUUUGGAUGGAUGUGUUUGUGGUUUGUAACUGUUAGGUUUAAACCAUGGUUUAAGAAUUUGCCCAAAUAACAGAAAUUUUGUUCGGGAAGGGAUAAACUAAGUAUAGCAUAUAGAGCAUGUGUUUGAGUUUUAGAUACUUUAUUUGUAAAUACUUAAAAUAGCUUUCUGAAACCGUGCAUUCUGUAGUUUCUUCCUUUCAGUGAAAUUGUUAAAUGUUAAUGUAUUUUUGGCACUGCGAUUUUAACCAUUUAUUAAAUAAAAAUUUUGUUAAAGAA
Molecule: small RNA, 1789 nt
Filed under: Pongo abelii (Sumatran orangutan)
Lineage: Eukaryota; Metazoa; Chordata; Mammalia; Primates; Hominidae
Description: processed transcript
Source: RNAcentral